CCUACGGGGGACAGCAGUGAGGAAUAUUGGUCAAUGGGCGGGAGCCUGAACCAGCCAAGUCGCGUGAGGGAUGACGGUCCAGUGUAUUGUAAACCUCUUUUGUCAGGGAACAAAGUCCGGCACUUGUCCCCUUUUGAGGGUACCCGAAGAAAAAGCAUCGGCUAACUCCGUGCCAGCAGCCGCGGUAAUACGGAGGAUGCGAGCGUUAUCCGGAUUUAUUGGGUUUAAAGGGUGCGCAGGCGGCCUGUUAAGUCAGUGGUAAAAGGCCGGGGCUCAACCCCGGCGAGCCGUUGAAACUGGCGGGCUGGAGUGGGAGAGAAGUACGCGGAAUGCGCGGUGUAGCGGUGAAAUGCUUAGAUAUCGCGCAGAACCCCGAUUGCGAAGGCAGUUCACUGGACUGCAACUGACACUGAGGCUCGAAAGUGUGGGUAUCAAACAGGAUUAGAUACCCCGGUAGUC
This 459-nucleotide ribosomal RNA is filed under the name uncultured bacterium. RNAcentral describes it as "partial 16S ribosomal RNA". It matches the Rfam family "Bacterial small subunit ribosomal RNA", at positions 338 to 795 of the family's 1533-position model. The record is from RNAcentral.